RNAcentral lists this ribosomal RNA (195 nucleotides) under Campylobacter coli. Its description in RNAcentral is "partial 16S ribosomal RNA". It matches the Rfam family "Bacterial small subunit ribosomal RNA", at positions 1346 to 1533 of the family's 1533-position model. Lineage: Bacteria; Pseudomonadati; Campylobacterota; Epsilonproteobacteria; Campylobacterales; Campylobacteraceae. The record is from RNAcentral.
GGAUCAGCAUGCCGCGGUGAAUACGUUCCCGGGCCUUGUACACACCGCCCGUCACACCACGAGAGUUUGUAACACCCGAAGUCGGUGGGGUAACCUUUUGGAGCCAGCCGCCUAAGGUGGGACAGAUGAUUGGGGUGAAGUCGUAACAAGGUAGCCGUAUCGGAAGGUGCGGCUGGAUCACCUCCUUUCUAAGGA